CGGGGUACUCGAGCGGCGAACGGGUGAGUAACACGUGAGCAACCUKCCCCAGKCUUUGGGAUAACCCCGGGAAACCGGGGCUAAUACCGAAUAUGACCUUGCACCGCAUGGUGUUUGGUGGAAAGUUUUUCGGCUUGGGAUGGGCUCGCGGCCUAUCAGCUUGUUGGUGGGGUGAUGGCCUACCAAGGCGACGACGGGUAGCCGGCCUGAGAGGGCGACCGGCCACACUGGGACUGAGACACGGCCCAGACUCCUACGGGAGGCAGCAGUGGGGAAUAUUGCACAAUGGGCGGAAGCCUGAUGCAGCGACGCCGCGUGAGGGAUGACGGCCUUCGGGUUGUAAACCUCUUUCCAGCAGGGACGAAGCGUAAGUGACGGUACCUGCCAGAAGAAGCGCCGGCCAACUACGUGCCAGCAGCCGCGGUAAGACGUAGGGUCGCGAGCGUUGUUCCGGAUUUAUUGGGGCGUAAAGAGCUCGUAGGCGGCUUGUCGCGUCGACUGUGAAAACCCGCAGCUCAACUGCGGGCCUGCAGUCGAUACGGGCAGGCUAGAGUUCGGUAGGGGAGACUGGAAUUCCUGGGUGUAGCGGUGAAAUGSGCAGAUAUCAGGAGGAACACCGGUGGCGAAGGCGGGGUCUCUUGGGCGAUACUGACGCU
This 656-nucleotide ribosomal RNA is filed under the name Micromonospora sp. Bt 21. RNAcentral describes it as "bacterial SSU rRNA". It matches the Rfam family "Bacterial small subunit ribosomal RNA", at positions 83 to 747 of the family's 1533-position model. The record is from RNAcentral. Lineage: Bacteria; Bacillati; Actinomycetota; Actinomycetes; Micromonosporales; Micromonosporaceae.